Molecule: long non-coding RNA, 7042 nt
Organism: Equus caballus (horse)
Lineage: Eukaryota; Metazoa; Chordata; Mammalia; Perissodactyla; Equidae
Source: Ensembl
AGGCAGGAGAUUGGAGGGAGGGAGGGAGAUUAGGGACUCUAUUCCUUGGGGAUCACUGGGCGCUGGCUGUGCCUCCUUUCCAGGUGGCCCUCUCCACACAACUCUCGCCUCCUGGGCUCUGGGACUCCCCUCUUUAGGCCUGCUGGCACCAGCCCUAGGGUCUGCAAAGUCCCUGUCAUCUCCCUGCCUCUGCUCACUUUGUGUCCUCUGUGAGCAGUAUUUGAAUUAAUACUCCUUGCAAUAUUACCUGGUCCACCAGCUGGCUGACCUGGGGCCACUCCCUCAACUGCUCCUUGUCUCUGUUGUCUGACGCCUCUUCAUGGAGUUGUCAGUAGGUCUAAGAAAUAACCAGCUAAGCGCCCAGCACGGAGCCAGGUGUGGAAUAAAAUCUCCAUGACUUUUACUUCCUUGAGGCCGGCUGAGGCCGGGCUCCCAUUCUGCCCUCGCUGCGAGGACGGAUUGGGGAGGGGAUGACAGCUCCUCCUCCUGGGGGAGAAUUCCCUGUAGCAGGAGUGAAAGCUUUGUCUUGGAGUUUGCCAAGUCAUCAUGGAAGGGACAAUCACAACCCCAGUGUAGUACCUCAAUCCUGGACCAUCCUCAGUAACUGGCCGUCCCAUUGAUUCCUUUGGCGACCACCCAGCUGCUGUGGGUAGUUUCUGCCAUGUCUCCUUCCCUCCCACCUCACAGGUAGGGCUGGGAGCCUGAAAAGGCAUCUCUAUAUUAAAGGGAGUCCUGGGACACUCCCCCUGGUGUCCUGGACUCACUACGCAACGACUUGACUUAUAAGAGCCAAGCAUGCGCAUCUCUUCCCAAUUCCACAUCAGUGAGACGGUAGCUGGAAAUCGGCCGUGGUGGCAGCAUUUACACCAGAGAAAUGCAAUACGCUUCACACCAGGGCUCUUCCCCAGGGGAGCUGGUUCUCCAACACUUACCAGCACCUCACUAGAUACGCCUCUCCAAAGAUCACCAACAUGACCAUAGGCGGGCUUUGGAAACAAUGCUCAGGUGGUGGUUUCUAACUCAGAUGGAAUCACCAUGGAGCCAGUUGAAGAUGGCAUCCUAGGUCCUACCGUAGCAGGUGUACCUCAGCACCCUUUGUCCACAUGCCACAGGCAGCAACAAAAACAGGGAGCACUCUCACCGUAUACCAGUCCCACCGCUGAAAGCUUUCUGCUCUCACCAACAAAUCAAUCACCUCCUUUCAGGAUACACAGCAAAAAAGUGGUCCUCCUGGAGUUCAUCUCAGCGGACAGAGUGUCAUUUUUGUUGGUUUUGAGUGAUCUUGGAAAAUGCGAAGUCAGUUGUUUUGUGUACUGGCCCAGUCCCAAAACUUGUCACAACCGAGCUCUGUGGGAGGAAAGAUAAAUCAGGAUGGGUGCAAGCCCUGGGGCCUUCACCAGAGUGACACAGCAUCACCAUAGCAUCCACCUCUUAGGAGAAUGGCACCUUCCUGAGACCUUCUAGAAAUAGACAUGCUUCCUUCCAUCUGGCAAAGAGGAUAUGUGCCUAGGGAAAUUCUUAGCUCAAGCUAUCAAAGCUAGACAAGCUGAACUAGAUUUUUCUGAAAAGGCAGAACAGAUAGAAGUGGAGUCAGCGUUUUCCUGGGCUGGGCACGUGAAGCCAAGGGCUAGCUGGAAACUAAGGAGAAGCAGAGGCGGGUGUCGCCAGGUCAAACCAGAUGGGAUGUUAUCAAAGAUCCCACUGGUGUGUCCAGAGAAGGAAAUAGAUCUUACAGAGAUCUGAAGGCAGAGGCAAGAGAAGAAACUAGAAUUGGCGCCCAGAAUUCAGAGUGAUACAAAGCAAGAUACGUAGAGCAGGUGGAGAUGAACAGGGAUGUCCCAGGGUCCCUCUGCCUGGUCCUGGUGCACCAUCGGUGCUCUGGGACAGUCACUGAGAACACUUGUCCUGGCUGGGUAUGACUGGGCGGGAAGGUAUCACUAAACACUUGCUGUUCUAUCUUCUCCUAGUUCUUCCCAACUCUCUAGCAAUCCAGGUUUCCUGCUUCCUGCACUGACUCUGCAAGCUCUAUCCAUUCAUUUAUUCCCACCCACCUUCUGUUGAAACUUUCUGGGACGCUAGGAACAUGAGAGAGGAGGGACAGAUGCUAUACUUUCUGCAGGAUCUCCUGGAGUGGCUGGAACAGUGCCUUCUGGCCAGGCUCCCCCGUAAAUACUUGUCAGCUCAGCCUCUAACCCUUGCUGCCCAGCUGGCCCUCCCCAACAUCAUGCAGCCCCCACAAAGCUCAGCCAUCCCAGCUGUGCACCACCCUUCUGCUCCCGUGCCAGCCUCCCGCGCCUGCUCUCUGACUUCAGGCUUCUUCUCUGGCUCCACAUCAGCUCUGGCUCUUCUUUGUACUCCUGGUUAUCCCACCCCAGCAACCCACUCCAGCCUUCCUUUGUCACACUUGCCUGAUGUUGGUGUCACUUGCAGCUUUGUCCUCUUGAGUCCCUCGUAUCCAAGCCCACAUGCAAGGCAGGUGGAGAGGUGCUCCUAAACAUAACCAUGUUGGGCCAGUCCCCUGGCCUGGUUGGCACGGACACCUGUGACCAUGGCCCAAAUGGAAUAGCAGAGCUUUCAUUCCAGUGGCAAAGCUUCAAGGAUAUUACGAGUUCCCUGGCUCUGGGGAUCCCUGUGUUUCUGUGUGACAGCACCCCGGCAUCUCAGCAGGUAAGACAUUUUGCAGCUGGCAGAUCUGCAUGGGUUCUGAUUCUCACUGGAGCUAAUUUGAAGUGCCUCCACUCAGGUAGCCAAACGUGAACAUCAGCUCUGCAUGGCCCAUGUUCACGUGGGGCUCAGAGGUUAUCCAAAUUAAACGUUCUUAGGAAUCGUAGUUAAUGCUCACAAAUAAACAUAAAAUCAGCAUGUGAGUAAGGGAUUCCAGCUAAUAGCAUUUUUAGUUAGUAAAUCAGUUUUAAUCAGGGAUUUAAUAACAUUCUAAUAAUAAAUACUAUUUAUUUGGGGCUAGAUUAUAGAGAUUAUCUUAAAAAUUUGGUAUGUCAAGAAUUGUUUUUUAUAUGCUCAAUUGCUUGUAACCCCACAUAAUAUUAUGUUGCUAUGGCUCAUUCGUCCAGGGAAAAAUUAGAGAGAGUCCAUGAUUGAAGGUCAGAAUGAAUGGCAUGGCUCCCAAUGUGAUAUGGGGAUGGACAGAGGCAGGAAAUGUAUCAAGAACCCGAACAGCUAACACAUACUGAGCAGGGAUGCCAGAGAGGGCCUGGGACCCUAGCAGAGACAGGAAGAGCUGGGAAGGGAUCUGAGGAAAGCAGGUCCGAGACCAGAACAUCUAGAGUUAAUUCUUCUCAGGUUUCACAGGGGAAUUUGAGCCCCAGGUGGGCUGAGAGUCUUGCUCAAAUUAGUAACAGAAAUGAACCAGAACCCGGCUCUCUUGAGUCCCAGUCCUAUAGGUUGGCGUGAGUCCUAGCUGAGCAGACAGCUCCUACCUGAUUUUGGUUUGGGUUCAAACAGCUAUUUCUCCCACGGCCCUAGGGGUCAGGUGCCCCUGUGGCAUUUGAAGAUUGAGGGGAUGUCGGGGAUGAGGGUAGAGCAUAGUAGCCUGGUGGCCCUCGCCCACUGACUCAUGAAGAGCUCACACCUGCCUCCCACCCUAAGGGCACUGUAUGGCACUGAAAGAGAAAAGGGACUUAAAUGCCUUUUUCUCUGAGAAUUCCAUGCACCAUUUGAGAUACUGUGUGAAACCUGAGGCUUGUAAAACCAGGGCGGGGACUCGGCUUGUCACCGUGCACUCUUGGUUUGCUUGUGGAGGAAAGCCAACAGACUGAUAUUGGGAAAUUAGAAUUCUAGAAAGUGAGGGUCAGAAGGCUGGAGCAAGGUCUUGAAGCAAGUGUCCUCAUUUACAGGUAAAGGAUCUGAGACCCAGAGAGACUAGCCCAAAGCCACAGGUUGAGUUACUGGUAAUUCCAUUCAUCUUCACAUCUGGGGGAGCAUCCUUCCUCUAGGUGACUCACUUCCCCGGGGUGGUGAAUCAAGAAAGUGAGAGAGUUAGCCAGGAAAAGGGCCCAGCCUCUACCAUGCUUCCUCGGUGGGCUGUUUGAUCAGAGGUGUGACCUUUCGUAGCCCCACUGGACACAGCAGGCAAUCAGUAAGUAGGUGUAUAUCAAUAGCCAGAGCUGAGCGCUGGACCGUGAGUCAGGAGGCCCAGUUCUCACUACGGCUCUACUGCUCACAGAACAAACUCCCGUGUCGUCAGGACUCAGUGGACUUUGAGGUCCCUUCCGGCUCUCGGAUUUAAUGAAAUCUGUCAGUGACUUGCUGUUCUGCCUGUGUCGUUUUAUCAACAACGUCUGUUUGCAGAACAAGAUCCUUUCAUCUCAGGACUGUGCAUUCAGCUCUGUCCACUCGACCUUUCUGUCCACAUUCAGCACAGCAAUAAGGCAGCGCCUUCCAGUCUGGGUCCCCAAACACAUCAUUAGCUGGGAAGACACUGGAAGCACUGCAUUCUUCGGGCUGUGCUGUCAACUUUGACUUCAAAGAAGCUAAACAAUACUUGUAGAGACUUCCACUCCCAGUCAAGAUGGAAUCAGAUUUACCUUCCACCUGAAGCAACUCAAAAACAAGACAGAAUAAUAAAGCAAUGACACUCAAGACAUUGGACAUUGGACAAUGGAGGAUAGUGAUUUCCUGAGCAAAUGGAAACAGCUGAGAUGUCUUCGCCUCACACUGACUUGGGGAUUGAAUCCGAGAGUUGGAGAGUUGCCCCUAAGAAGAGAAAGGAUGCCGGCUUGACUUUUGACCUCCUUAUGAAACACCGCAAUGAAUCCAUCUGCGAACACACACUGGGCUGGUAGAGACAGACGAGCAGAAAGUGUCUCAAAGCGGCUUCCCAGCAGCCCCUGCCACACAGCCGUCUACAUCUGCAUGCACACAAUUCCGACGCGUUCCGACAAAUGAUGUUUACGUUCGGAAUCCAGCUGUCAAGGGAGAACAGCUGCUGUCAGGUGCUUAAGGGCACCUCGAAGGAGUGUUUUCAGAUUUCAAAAAAACGUGUGAGCCCACACUGUUUCAACUGCUUCCCCGUGGAAGUUGCAGACUGAAGCUUCUUUGUUCCUGCUGAAUGACUCAUGAAUGCCCUUUAAAAGAGAACGAAACAGACAUGUUUUGAUGGGGAAAAUACAUAAAGAAUGCAGUGCAUUUUUCCAAACAGCCGUCAGACCAUCUAAUUUAGGCCAAUAAGGGCAAACUCGCCUGCGUUCUCAGGCUGACCUUCCCAGCGAGGGCCUUGUCCUGGCCCUGGGCUCCUGGGUGAGGGCCGCACUGACCAAGGCAGGAAGGGUAAGGCCAGCUUUCCCAAGGUUGUUAGUCUUCCUGGGGUUCCAUUUGAAAAGAGGCUUCCUGUUCUUCUAGAAGGUUGUUUUUCUUCACUGGGUAAAUCAUUUCCAGUAGCAGUGGGAUGUAAUAAUUGUAAGAAGAUAGUGCGUUUAUAUAGCACUUACUGUGUGCUAAACAUGGUCCAUGUGCAGUAAUUCCUUUAAUCCUCAUAGUAUUCCCAAUGAAUCACUGAGGCACAGAGAUAGUAAGUCAGUCACCCAGGGUCACACAGCUAGUAAGUGGCACAGCUGGGGUACAAACCAGGUGGUGUAGCUACAGAGUCUGGGCUGUGUGUGGUGGAAGGAGCACUUCCCGUGGAGUCGGGAAUCCCGGGUUUGAGUCUGGGCUCUACCCUUUACAAUCUGUGCACUCUGAGCCUUGGUUUCCUACUCUGCAAUUUGAGGUUAAAGCCAGCUCGCAUUGUUAGAGGAUUAGCCGUUGGAGUAGGCCCUCAGCUAAGGUAAGCCGCGCCUGAACGCCGGUGAGCACGGCACAUCCUCCAGGGGCCUUACCCCACUCCCUCCGGUUUUGGGAAGCCCUUCUAUUCUGCAGUGCUGGGUGGAGUAGCAGAAAAAGGCAGGCGAGGGUCCAAUGGGCCUUUAGGACACAGUGACUUAUUGAUGUGAGUGGUCUGGAUUGAUACUGGUAGUGCCCCGCCAACACACACACGCAAUAUAAACAGAUGCAUGGGCUCCUAAUACACACACACCAGAUACACGUACACGUGCUCCUAAUAUACACACACUCACACACAUACACAAACACACACAUACACAUACAUGUACUCCUAAUACACACACACACACACUCACACAACAAACAACUAACCAACCGGAACCCACCAGCGCUGAGCUGCAGUGCCCGUUAGCUGCGUAAAGAAACCCCUGGAGGGUUUACUGUUAACAUCAGUCUUGUGGUGAUCCCGCUGCCUUGGCUUGUAACCCCAGGGCCUAGCUCUGGGUCCUGGGAUACACACAUUUCCAGGGAAUGUGGCUGGUUUACAUCAACUCUGGAUCACUUCUCUUCCCAUUGGGGAAAUCCCAUGUUGUUGAUAAAGGGAAGCAACUAUGAAAUCACAGCAGUGAAAGACAUAGGAAGCGCCCUCUGGUGCAGGGCCCUGAUUUCUGGCACGCGCGGAUGUAUGUCAUCCAGGGCCACCUGCACCCUGAUGUUCUUCUUAACAGGAAGGAAAUAUUUUCACCUGGGUGGGGGAGGGGGCGUUACCUGAAAGUGGUUCUCUCCCCGGUAGAAGCUCCUCACUGAUUCUACCUCCUGCAUGGCAUUUUUGGGCACCUCCCUCCACCCCUACCCCCAGGUUGAGAGCUUCUGCCCUUUAGACCUUAACACCCACGGGGGGUUUACCCAGUGAAGCUGCUCUAAAUGGAGCUGCCCAGUUGAGACCAAUGUCCAGGGAUUGCAUGAAAACCCAGGCUCAAGAUUUGCGUCAAGCACCUAUCAGUUACCCCCAACCUCUCUACUUCCUCAGCUUCAGUGCCCACCUCCCAGAUCUUGCCUCAUGCACCCUGGGGUGCGACAGGCCACUGUGAACCCACCGGUUCAAUUGAUCCUGUUCUUGAUGUUUAGACUUUCUAGUUAUAUAAGCCAAUAAAGUCCCCUUUUUAUGCUUAAUUAUUUAGUAUUGAGUUUUUAUUUCUUUUUUUGUUUGCUUUUUGGGGUUUUUGUUUUUGUUUUUAAAGAUUGGCACCUGUGCUAACAUCUG